UUUUUUUUUUUUUAAGCAGCCUUGAAAAUGAGCUUCAGUAGUUUGAUUCGCGGUGCUCUAAGAGUACUCAUGUCAUGACCUUUCAAUCAUCUUUGAGCAAAAAGAAAAUUAAAAAUAAAAAAGGAAAGCUCAGUGCAUGGCAUUCAAGCUUUAAAUCUCUGUCUUUGCACUUGUCUUUGGUGUAAGGUCUUUCAGCAAUUUAAAGAAAGGUCGCAGCCGAUCGCAAGCUCUGAGGCUGAAAGGUCCACAGCUGAAAACUUGGGUUUGGGGAUGUUGGUUAAAUUGUGGGUUUUCUCUGUGGUUUUGUGUGUGCAACAGCGCUCUCUCUCUCCCGCUCACGUCCUCCUCAGCAGUCAAACCAACAGUCUGCAACAACUUCGGCAGUCAUUGCCAAUUCUUUUUUUUUUUUUUUUUUCGGUAUCUGAGGCAGUCUUCCUCUAAUUCGGCCACAGGAACCGGCUGCUUAACAAUAUUUUAACCGCAGCAGCAGGUGGAAGGCUGCUUUCGGAAGCAUGGCUUUUCCCUCGGCCGCCUCCGGCCAGCGGGACGGGUACCGCCAGCCUGCGCGGAGAGCCCCCGCGCACACACCGAAAACCAAGAGCAACCAACCAGCAACAGCAGUAAUAAAAACCCAACCCGAUUAAGGAAAAAGAAAAUAAAACAAAACCAAAACCCCCCAAAACACUACUUUUGAACGAGUGAAAGCUUUCCUUCCGCAAAAGAGAAGGUGGCGGCAGGCGGGCGGUGGAGGAGCCGCUGACCCCCACGGAGAGAGACAGAAAGAAGCGGGGAAGACCAAACCCCCCGAAGUUGCCAGCCAGGGUUAGAAGUGACAGCCUCCAGCCGGGACGACCGCUCAGAGGAAGCGCAUUUCCAACAGCGGAGAGCUCUCGGGUCUUCACGUGAGCCGCAGGGAACGCAGCCUUCCUGCCGCCCGCCCGGCCAACCACGGCGCCGGGAGCUCCGCCGGGCCGGGCCGAACCGGGCCGGGCUCCGCCGCUUCGCUCUGGGCCGGGCUGGGGUCCGCCCCGUGCCCC
This 1037-nucleotide long non-coding RNA is filed under the name Strigops habroptila (Kakapo). RNAcentral describes it as "lncRNA (ENSSHBG00005017668.1)". Lineage: Eukaryota; Metazoa; Chordata; Aves; Psittaciformes; Psittacidae. The record is from RNAcentral.